Molecule: non-coding RNA, 409 nt
Organism: Schizosaccharomyces pombe (fission yeast)
Lineage: Eukaryota; Fungi; Ascomycota; Schizosaccharomycetes; Schizosaccharomycetales; Schizosaccharomycetaceae
Source: the annotation of a GenBank genome assembly
AAUAGAGAUGUUAGUUACCUAGUAAUGCGCACAGUGAAGAAAUAAAAGCUUCGUACCGUUGAUAAUUUUAGAAUUAAAAUGUUUAAGUAGACACGAGACCUUGAAAUUUUUAGAUCUGAGCCAAUCCAAUGAAUUAUUAUAGGCAGUGCUAUCCAAAAGCGAUUUCUCAACAGAAAUUCGUUUCAAAGGGCUAAAAGAUACGACUUCUUCAUUUUUCCUUUUACCAAGGAUAGAACUCAUGACUAUUUGACGAUAUCAGUACUGAUACUGGCGGUUAUCGUCUAUUUGACUCCUUAAUACCCUUAGGGAUAGAAUAUGGCUCUGAGAAGGACGAAUGUCGACGAUUCCUACAAAGAAGGGUUUGAAAUCAAAAGAACUUUACUUAGACUCCUAUUUUUUACUCAGAAUU